Molecule: ribosomal RNA, 381 nt
Filed under: uncultured eukaryote
Lineage: Eukaryota
Description: partial 18S ribosomal RNA
Rfam family: Eukaryotic small subunit ribosomal RNA
Source: RNAcentral
CCAAUAGCGUAUAUUAAAGUUGUUGCGGUAAAAAAGCUCGUAGUUGGAUUUCUGUCGAACUGAUCGGGUCGCCUUUAUGAGGUUGUAUCUCGCUUCGGUUUGGCAUCCUCGUAGGGAACGUUGCUGCGCUUCACUGCGUGGUGCGGUAUCUACGACUUUUACUUUGAGGAAAUUAGAGUGUUCACGGCAGGCAAUCGCCUUGAAUAUAUUAGCAUGGAAUAAUAACAUAGGAUCUUUGUCCUAUUUUGUUGGUUUCUAGGGCUGAGAUAAUGAUUAAUAGGGAUAAUUGGGGGCAUCUGUAUCAACGCGUCAGAGGUGGAAUUCUUGGAUUGCGUUGCGACAAACUACUGCGAAAGCAUUUGCCAAGGAUGUUUUCAUUGA